UUAAAGAACUAACAUUGUUGAUGAGUCUAAAUGACGAGUGGCAUCUAGUUAGAAAACUAUGACUGAGUGGCACAUGCUUGAUGUUUACUUGAGAUGAUCUUAUUAGUGUGGUUGAGACACUAUGAGAAUGGGUACAAGAACUUAUUGAUCCAUGCUAAUAUUACCCUCAAAGGGUUGUUGUUGCUAGUGAGUUGAUCAUGCUCACAUUGCCUGUCUGCGCUUGGUGGGGCCGCUCCCCUCAAGUUGUGCGCUCCGUAGUUGGUCACUAGAGAGGCAGCCUGCUUGCUGCUCGGAUAGCCGCUUGUUAUCCGCAGGCGUACUCGGGGAUAGUCCAGCUCGACAUCCCUAGGAGAUUGAUAUGUGAGCCUUGCUUGUGAACCUUGUGUUCACUUGGAGAUUGGGUUACCCAUUGAGUCUUACCCAUGAUUGAUGUUCAUAGUAGCUAUUCAUUGUUCAUAUCAGCUUACUUGCUUACCUAGUAGCAUGUUUUAUAGUUACUAUGAUAGCUGUUGUAGAUGUUGAUAGUUGCUUACUUACCCAGCUUUGUUUAUUGUUCAUGCAUUCAUGAUUCCAGAUUGAGGCAUAGCUUGAUAUAGUUGUUUACAUACCCGCUUUCCGUUCAGCUUAGUUUUAUAUAUAUAUUGCAUAUAUAUCUCUCUAUGCCUACUUGAGACCUAGUGGGUAGAUCGGCGGAGUCGGCGGCCGAACCCACUGGGAACUAUUCGUAGUUCUCACCCCCGUGUGGCUCUGGGGGUACAGGUAUACAGGACAGCGGGCCUUCGUCGAUGGAUCGCGGCAAGGGCAUAGCGCCCUAGCAGUUGGUUGAUAGCUUUACCUUCCCUACUUGCAUUAGCUCUACCCUGUACUUUUGGUUAUACAUUUUGAGAGUAGAUGUUGUAUAGGGUGAGGUUUUGGAGAGCUUAUGAUGUAUAUUCAUUUUGGAUAAAGAACGCAAGUUGUAUCAAAGUUUAAAGUUAAAUGAAAUCGAAAGAGGUUAAAUGUUUCAAUGAUGUCUCAAAUAGCUAAGUUGCUCUCUUUUGUAUACUUGUAUGGUUUUACUUGUAUCGCUUGCUCUAGUUGAUAGUAGCACUGUUUGUGCUCUCGUUUAUCGUUGUUUGAUUGUGUAUGUAUGCAAGUGGUUUUCCUGGGAACUUGUUGUACACAAUCUGUUGCUUAGCCUUGGGCGGACAGGGGAAACUCCGUCCGUUCGGCAUCACGCACGCCACCCUCGAAACGGACCAAAUUGGUACUGUCUUCGGGUAGUGCGGUCGGGGGCAUGACAGAAGUGGUAUCAGAGCGAGUUAAGAGCAAGCAAAAGAGAGAGUCUAGGAUGACCUAGGAGACUCUAGGUUGGUUAACCCUAAGGUUAUAGGUGCGUGAGUGCGACGUGAACCUAUGACGCGGCAGAAGCUAAUUGAUUGGGUUUGGAGUUGGAGUUGUUACUCUAGUUAUGACUAGAGAUGAUUCAAGUGGUAUUAAUUUUUGGCUUAAGGUGAUUGUGUUGGCGGCCGACAACACGAUGC
This 1523-nucleotide long non-coding RNA is filed under the name Ananas comosus (pineapple). RNAcentral describes it as "long non-coding RNA (ACOM_LNC036631)". The record is from RNAcentral. Lineage: Eukaryota; Viridiplantae; Streptophyta; Magnoliopsida; Poales; Bromeliaceae.